AACGAACGCUGGCGGCAGGCCUAACACAUGCAAGUCGAACGCCCCGCAAGGGGAGUGGCAGACGGGUGAGUAACGCGUGGGAACCUUCCCAGUGGUACGGAAUAACUGACCGAAAGGUUGGCUAAUACCGUAUACGCCCGAAAGGGGAAAGAUUUAUCGCCAUUGGAUGGGCCCGCGUCGGAUUAGCUAGUUGGUGAGGUAAUGGCUCACCAAGGCGACGAUCCGUAGCUGGUCUGAGAGGAUAAUCAGCCACACUGGGACUGAGACACGGCCCAGACUCCUACGGGAGGCAGCAGUGGGGAAUAUUGGACAAUGGGCGCAAGCUUGAUCCAGCCAUGCCGCGUGAGUGAUGAAGGUCUUCGGAUUGUAAAACUCUUUCGCCGGGGAAGAUAAUGACGGUACCCGGAGAAGAAGCUCCGGCUAACUUCGUGCCAGCCGCCGCGGUAA
Molecule: ribosomal RNA, 447 nt
Filed under: uncultured bacterium
Lineage: Bacteria
Description: partial 16S ribosomal RNA
Rfam family: Bacterial small subunit ribosomal RNA
Source: RNAcentral